Molecule: long non-coding RNA, 1466 nt
Organism: Daphnia pulicaria
Lineage: Eukaryota; Metazoa; Arthropoda; Branchiopoda; Diplostraca; Daphniidae
Exons: 6
Source: RefSeq, a predicted model, not a curated record
AGUCGCCACUGCUUGCAGAUCCCUUGAAUCAGCUCGAAUAAUGGACCAUCCUCCCGGUUUGUAGAACAUAUUUCCGCUUCAUGUUUUUGCUAUGCAAAGUUGCAAACCCGUUUAAAUGUAAAAGCUGAACUUUAUUGUGUAGGUACCAGUUCUUGUGAAAUAUUAUGUUGAAUACCAAAUAUUUAGAGACUAGCUUAGAAAAUUUAGGCUGGAUGCCUAGAUUUUUCCAAGAUUAAGUGAUUUUGUUAUCUUCAGAUUCCUUUGGAAUGGAGGGAUUGCAUGGAUUAACAGCCAGAUAAAGUCUGGGCUUUCUUCAUUGCCAUCCAAAUUCAUUCACAUGGAGAACUUCACAACAAUUAAAGUAACUAUGUUGGUCAAGUUAUAACCACCAGGGUACAGAAAUAGUUAAUUUUGGAGAGUACCUUGCUUUUCUGUUGCAGAAUUUUUGGUUUGCAAUAAGCAUGCUAUUUGGGUUCAUUCGUUCGAUUGCAAUCCAUGAUGCUUUCUGUUCGAUUCGGCAAUCCCGAUUCAAUUAAUCCUUGUGUUAUUGGGUGGGUUGGAAGCCAGUGUCAACUCAGUGGAUAAAUUUUAUUGGAAAUACAAAGACAAUAUUGCUACUGUAGUUGUAGCAAUGGAAGGAGUGGGGUGUUGAUAUUAGAGCAUUUUAAUGGCGAAAAGAGGGUUUUGUAGAAUGUUUUAUCAAAACCUUCCUUUUUGUUUGACUGUUUAGUUUUUACUUGGUUUCCAAGUCCCUCCACUUGCCUUUGCAAGUGAUAAUGAAUUCAUUCAAUAAUUCAACUAUCAAGUAUUGAAAGGAAAAUUUUUUUAGCAAUGGUCACGAGGAUUAAAUUUGUGACUUAGCCUUUACUGUUAAGGACUCGGUGGUAAUGGUAUGCAUCAGUUUGCUGCACGCAGUCUAUGGAUCUGGUGUUAUGCUAAAAUGUAGACUCAAGACCUGGGGUGGAACUGCAAGAAGAAGACUUAAAUAAUUUAAUUGUUUAACAGCCAGGUGCAAUUUCUUCUUCAUUGCUGUAUAACACAACAAACGGUUUUUGUUUACGGUCAGCCGGUUCAAGGUGUCGUCAAAACUCAAAUCAAGCUCAGCUGUUGCAUGGAGGAUGUGAUGCCGGUGUUAUCCUAGAGGGUGUUGGUGUUCUGGCAAAAAUUGUUCUGCUUGUUUGUAAUUAGAGUAUUAUUUGAAGUAGUCAAUGAUGUUUGUCUGUUUGUCUUUUUCUUUUCUGUCCCCAACUAACUAACCACAGCUGGUGGUUACUGGUCAUUCACCCGCUGUGAAAUAGGGAGGGAUUAGGAGGGUUUUAGUUGAAUGGGGACUUGGAAGGGGUAUGUUCUGAUUAAAACUUUUUGAGAGUUAUGAGUGUAACCCGGAAGUCUACUACGAUUAAUUGUUCCCUAGCAAACUGGCCUAUAAUAACGUCAAUGCGACUGUUAAUAGUUAUAGGCCUACU